GACUGUGAUCAAGUGGCAUGGCUGCCUGGAAUGCUGCGUGGAUGGUGAUUCCAAGGCCAGGUCUGUGAUCAAUGGGAGAGUGCCUGGAUUGAUUACUGAUGCCUGGCGUGGGCAUGUGAACACUGGGCAUCGUGGCUCUGAAUGUUCAUAGCAUCUCUGGGGCGUCACUCACUGUGAUCAUGACCGAGUUCCAGGUGGCAGAGAAGACGUCUGUGUCGUUAUUGCCCUGGUAGUGCUUGGUGAGCUCCUUGGUGAAGAAUUCUCGGGUGAGCUGGGGGCAGAGGGAGAAGAUGGGCUUAGGCCUGGCAGUUGGGUGCAGCCCCCACCCUCCAUCGUCUCUCCAUCCACCUGCUUGGGAGUUGGGGGAAUGAGAGCUAGGGGCUCUGCAUCCUGGUGCCAGGUCCCCUGGGAUUCUCCUAAACCACCAACUUGGGGCAGUCUUCUUAUCCCCAGUGGAGAAAGGAAGUCCAUACACAUGCACAUCUCGGUGGAGCCGAGGUCAGGGCACGCUGAGGACCUCACUCCACCUGCAGCUCUGCCCAGAGGGAGGGCUUAUCUGGGUGGGGAGUUUGCACCUCACCCCACCCCUUCCACCUGAGCUGUUCCCCAGACAGAGCCAAGCAGAUGCCCUGGGUCCCAGGGCCUGAAGAAGCUACAGGACCGGGCAGGAAGUCUUUGUACAUCAGUUUCCAGAGGAGUCCUCCACAGUUUCUCCUACUCCCAAAAUAUUCUCCUUCCCUCCUGCUGCAGUCAAAGGCUAGGGCCCUGGGUGGUGCCCAGCAGAGGAGACCAUCUGGGCACCAUUGUCUGCUCACAGGCUGUGGUGGCCUCCUCCUCUGCUCCGUGCUGGCUACCCUCCCCGCCCGCCUCCUCUACCCCAGGGCCAUUUUGUGUCUCCUGCCCCAUUGCCCCUCCUCCCCUCCCAUCUUUCUCCAACCCCCCGCCCCAGUCUCCCUUUGGCUAUGGUGCCUGGCUCUGGUCAACUCAGGGGAGGCAGCUGGCACUCCAGCUGCCUGUGGCCUCUGGAACUUGGUGGCUUGUGGGGCCAAGGUACCCAGGAGGAUACCAGCCAGGGCCUCCUCCGAGAGCAGUCUGCCCUGUGCUCCUACAUUCCAGCCUCUCCGACUAUUCUGACUGUCUCACUAUCACUGGGCCGUUACUAGGCAAGGUUUGGAAGGGAUGUUUCCAGAAUAAGGUAUGGGGUUGUACCAGAUGCUUUGGGAGCAGAGAAAAGCCCUUGCAGGAACAGGCUUACUGGGGUCUCUCCCUGGUCUGCGGGGCCUUGCCAGGCGGGUGGGGCCAUGACUUGGGCUGGAAGUGCCAGAUGAGAGGCUGCCCACUCUCUGAGACCCUUCAAGGAGGGGAGGAGCCAGACCUGAAUGGCCACCAACCCCUUGCUGAUAGCAGGAGGCAGGAAAGCUUGGGGCCUGAUACGUACAUUUUCCCUGAAGAUGAAGGCCAGGAUGGCUGCUGAGAGCUCUGCCAGGAAGAUGAUCAGGAUGAACAGGAAGAACUGCAGGGAGAGGAACAGCCUUGUGAGCCCAGAGGGCAGGCAGGGGAUGGGGCGGCCACUGGCCAAUGCAUCCGUCCAUCUGUCACACCAGUGACGCAGUAUACUCAUUUUGUAAGAUUAAGGCACUCCACUGCUAUCAGACAUUUUUCAUAACAAACACACCAGUGAUUCCUCCUUGGAGUCAACAGGAUUGAGAUCAAAAUAUGAAAAGAAUAAACAAAUAUAUACCUUC
Molecule: long non-coding RNA, 1745 nt
Filed under: Homo sapiens (human)
Lineage: Eukaryota; Metazoa; Chordata; Mammalia; Primates; Hominidae
Description: non-protein coding lnc-SYT13-9:1
Source: RNAcentral